RNAcentral lists this ribosomal RNA (108 nucleotides) under uncultured bacterium. RNAcentral describes it as "partial 16S ribosomal RNA". It matches the Rfam family "Bacterial small subunit ribosomal RNA", at positions 1375 to 1482 of the family's 1533-position model. The record is from RNAcentral.
CGGGUCUUGUACACACCGCCCGUCACACCAUGGGAGUGGAUGGUACCAGAAGUAGGUAGGUUAACCUUCGGGAGGCCGCUUACCACGGUAUAGUUCAUGACUGGGGUG